GCCCGCAUGGUGUAGUUGGUUUAUCUCGUCGGUCUCAUAAUUCGAGCCCUUAAUCAGGGAGCAAUCCGAAGGUCGUCAGUUCAAACCUGACUGCGGGCA
Transfer RNA from Calocera cornea HHB12733, 99 nucleotides. It matches the Rfam family "tRNA". From Rfam's summary of the family: Transfer RNA (tRNA) molecules are approximately 80 nucleotides in length. Their secondary structure includes four short double-helical elements and three loops (D, anti-codon, and T loops). The record is from Rfam. Lineage: Eukaryota; Fungi; Basidiomycota; Dacrymycetes; Dacrymycetales; Dacrymycetaceae.